RNAcentral lists this ribosomal RNA (1406 nucleotides) under Allosergestes pectinatus. RNAcentral's name for it is "partial large subunit ribosomal RNA". The stretch from base 659 to 1406 matches the Rfam family "Archaeal large subunit ribosomal RNA", at positions 1423 to 2904 of the family's 2987-position model. RNAcentral also lists the same sequence under 1 other name. Lineage: Eukaryota; Metazoa; Arthropoda; Malacostraca; Decapoda; Sergestidae. The record is from RNAcentral.
AUCAAAAAUCUUGCUCAAAUAUUCUAAAAAGCAAAAAUGAAAGCCGAAGGUUUAUAAAAAUAAUUUAAAAAAGUGAAAGUUAAAGUAAAAUUUAUUGAAAUAAUAAAUAAGAGCUACAGCGAAAAGUACUGUAAAGGAAAGAUUAAAUAAAAUGAAAAUUCAAAAUAAAUUAAAGCAGUUAUUAACGAUUGUACCUUGUGUAUCAGGGAAUAUUUAACUAUAUUCUUUUAAUAAAGUAAAUCCCGAAAAAGAAAGAGCUAUCAUCGUAAAAAGUUAUCGUAUUAAAGAUAUUUUAAAUAUUAUGUUAGUAAUGAAAUGUUAAUCGAUUUUUUAUAUCUGGUUAUGGACGAAUUAAAUUUAAUUUGAAAGUAUAGUAAACAAAUAAUUAUACUUUAAAGAAAAGGAGGAAAAAGCUUCUUUUUCUACAAAUAAUUUUAAUGAGUUAAAAUAAAAGUAAUACAUUUAAAAUUAGGCUUAGAAGCAGUCAGAUUAGUAAAGCGUUUUAGCUAAUAAAUCUGAAAGUAAAUAUUUAUAUUUUGAACCUAUUAUAGUAGUUCAUAAACUGGUAGACUCAUAUUAUUAGUGCUAGAAUGAUAUUAUUAGUAGAUAUUACUGUUGUGUAUGAAGUGAUAAAUUUGAAUAUUUAUAACUUUAUAAAUAGUUUUAAAUGUAUAAUCAAGGAACUCGGCAAAAAUAGCUUUUGCCUGUUUAUCAAAAACAUGUCUGUGCGAAGGUAUGUAGAGUCUGGCCUGCCCACUGACUAAUAUUGUUUAAAGGGCCGCGGUAUUUUGACCGUGCGAAGGUAGCAUAAUCAUUAGUCUUUUAAUUAAAGGCUUGUAUGAAUGGUCGGACAAAAAGUAAGCUGUCUCCGGUUAUAAAAAUUGAAUUUGACUUUUAAGUGAAAAGGCUUAAAUAAAACAAAAUGACGAUAAGACCCUAUAAAGCUUUAAAGUGUAAUUUUUUAUUAAAAAUUAUGAAAUUGUAUAACUUAAUUUAAAUUAAAACUUUUUCGUUGGGGCGACGAAAAUAUAACAGCAUAACUGUUUUUACAUUAAUAAGACAGAUAUAUCUGGUUAUAAAUGAUCCUUUAUUAAAGAUUAAAAGUUUAAGUUACUUUAGGGAUAACAGCGUAAUCUUCUUUGAGAGUUCAUAUCGACAAGAAGGGUUGCGACCUCGAUGUUGAAUUAAGGUUCCUUUAUGGUGUAGCAGUUAUAACUGGAGGUCUGUUCGACCUUUAAACCCUUACAUGAUUUGAGUUCAGACCGGCGUAAGCCAGGUCGGUUUCUAUCUUUUGUAAAAUUUAAAAUUACUUUAGUACGAAAGGAUUAAGUAAUUGAAAUAAUUUUAAAAAUAAGAUUAAUUUUAAUUAAAUUGCCUUGGCAGAAUUAUGCAUUAGACUUAGGAUC